This 379-nucleotide long non-coding RNA is filed under the name Nicotiana benthamiana. RNAcentral describes it as "long non-coding RNA (NBEN_LNC035386)". Lineage: Eukaryota; Viridiplantae; Streptophyta; Magnoliopsida; Solanales; Solanaceae. The record is from RNAcentral.
GAACUCAAGGCCUAAAUUGCUCAUCCAGCUCUGGGUAAAAACACUUCCUUUGCGACAUGUUGUAUGUUACACAUGAUGAACUGGAUUUAGCUUAAAUGUGCAGUGUUCCCCAUGGACUCUACCCAAUAAACUCUUUUGUUUUAAUCAACCUAAACCAAAAUCAAGCACACAAGUGCUUCACCAAGCGUUUGAUUUUCUUCGUAUUUCGAUUUGGUGCAUUUUUUUCUCAAGUUUGAACAGCAGAACUUUGUCAAAAGUCGCUCACCUGGAGUGUCCUUUUUUUCCCCUUUUGUUUCCCAAGGGUAGUUGUUAUUUGGUGGCCGAUCGUGUUUUGUAGCUUUGUUUAAAUCAUAUAGCGACGUCUGUUCAAAUGUUGUGC